This 76-nucleotide microRNA precursor is filed under the name Myotis davidii. Its description in RNAcentral is "mir-9229 microRNA precursor family". It matches the Rfam family "mir-9229 microRNA precursor family". The record is from Rfam by way of RNAcentral. Lineage: Eukaryota; Metazoa; Chordata; Mammalia; Chiroptera; Vespertilionidae.
GAGACACUCUUAUGGGGCAAGACUUGCUUCAGUGGGGCUUUGGUGCUUACUGAGUCUGCCCUCUGAGUGUGUCCCU